This 497-nucleotide ribosomal RNA is filed under the name uncultured bacterium. RNAcentral describes it as "partial 16S ribosomal RNA". It matches the Rfam family "Bacterial small subunit ribosomal RNA", at positions 28 to 507 of the family's 1533-position model. The record is from RNAcentral.
GAUGAACGCUGGCGGCGUGCCUAAUACAUGCAAGUCGAGCGAACGGACGAGAAGCUUGCCUUUCUGAUGUUAGCGGCGGACGGGUGAGUAACACGUGGAUAACCUACCUAUAAGACUGGGAUAACUUCGGGAAACCGGAGCUAAUACCGGAUAAUAUUUUGAACCGCAUGGUUCAAAAGUGAAAGACGGUCUUGCUGUCACUUAUAGAUGGAUCCGCGCUGCAUUAGCUAGUUGGUAAGGUAACGGCUUACCAAGGCAACGAUGCAUAGCCGACCUGAGAGGGAGAUCGGCCACACUGGAACUGAGACACGGUCCAGACUCCUACGGGAGGCAGCAGUAGGGAAUCUUCCGCAAUGGGCGAAAGCCUGACGGAGCAACGCCGCGUGAGUGAUGAAGGUCUUCGGAUCGUAAAACUCUGUUAUUAGGGAAGAACAUAUGUGUAAGUAACUGUGCACAUCUUGACGGUACCUAAUCAGAAAGCCACGGCUAACUACGUG